This 68-nucleotide transfer RNA is filed under the name Marmota monax (woodchuck). RNAcentral describes it as "tRNA.Ala". The record is from RNAcentral. Lineage: Eukaryota; Metazoa; Chordata; Mammalia; Rodentia; Sciuridae.
GGAUUAUAACUCAGUGGUAGAGCGCUCACCUAGCACUGGUGAGGCACUGGGUUCGAUCCUCAGCACCA